Malus domestica (apple) is the source of this 480-nucleotide long non-coding RNA. RefSeq lists it as uncharacterized. The record is from RefSeq and is a predicted model, not a curated record. Lineage: Eukaryota; Viridiplantae; Streptophyta; Magnoliopsida; Rosales; Rosaceae.
CAGAAACAGCAAAACCCUAGGCGGUAGAAGCCUAUUGGAGUUGCUCUCAUGGAUCCUCAGCCAAAGCCAGUCUACUACAUUUGUGGAAAAUGUGGGUUGGAGGUUCAGUUGAAGCCCAACGACUCGAUGCAGUGCCGCGACUGCGGUUACCAUAUUUUAUACAAGAAGCGUGCUCGUCGUAUUAUUCAGCUUGAGGCGCGCUGAAGAAACGCACACGGAGCUCUCGGCAUGGCAGCAGAUGACGUGAAACGAAGAUGUCGCUUAAUUAGGCCCCCUUUCUUCAAUAACGAGACUUUACUCCGGCAGUGUAAUCUGGUUUAACAAACGCAGCCUUAGUGGCAUAACAAGCGCACAUAUUGAUAGGUAAAUAUAACGUUUGACAACGAUUUGAACAUUGAGACGUCUCUUUGGAGCAUUUAACUGAGAUAUGGUUUGACAAAUAUUCAAUUUCUUUCAAAGAUUCUCAAUUUUGGUUUCUAA